GAUGAACGCUGGCGGCGCGCCUAACACAUGCAAGUCGAACGAUUAAAGCACCUUCGGGUGUGUAUAAAGUGGCGAACGGCUGAGUAACACGUGGGCAACCUGCCCCUCUCAUUGGGAUAGCCACGGGAAACCGUGGAUAAUACCGAAUACUUCGGGACUUCCGCAUGGAAGACUCGAGAAAGCUCCGGCGGAGAGGGAUGGGCCCGCGGCCUGUUAGCUUGUUGGUGGGGUAAUGGCCUACCAAGGCAAUGAUGGGUAGCUGGGUUGAGAGACCGACCAGCCAGAUUGGGACUGAGACACGGCCCAGACUCCUACGGGAGGCAGCAGUGGGGAAUCUUGCACAAUGGGCGAAAGCCUGAUGCAGCGACGCCGCGUGCGGGAUGAAAGCCUUCGGGUUGUAAACCGCUUUCAGCAGGGACGAGGCGAAAGUGACGGUACCUGCAGAAGAAGCCCCGGCUAACUACGUG
RNAcentral lists this ribosomal RNA (467 nucleotides) under uncultured bacterium. RNAcentral's name for it is "partial 16S ribosomal RNA". It matches the Rfam family "Bacterial small subunit ribosomal RNA", at positions 28 to 507 of the family's 1533-position model. The record is from RNAcentral.